UGGGGUGUAGCCAAGCGGUAAGGCAGCGGACUUUGGAUCCGCGAUUCGUAGGUUCGAAUCCUACCACCCCAG
RNAcentral lists this transfer RNA (72 nucleotides) under Brockia lithotrophica. It matches the Rfam family "tRNA". Rfam says of the family: Transfer RNA (tRNA) molecules are approximately 80 nucleotides in length. The record is from Rfam by way of RNAcentral. Lineage: Bacteria; Bacillati; Bacillota; Bacilli; Thermicanales; Thermicanaceae.